UACGAAGGGGGCUAGCGUUGCUCGGAAUUACUGGGCGUAAAGCGCACGUAGGCGGAUCUUUUAGUCAGGGGUGAAAUCCUGGAGCUCAACUCCAGAACUGCCUUUGAUACUGAGGGUCUUGAGUUCGGGAGAGGUGAGUGGAACUGCGAGUGUAGAGGUGAAAUUCGUAGAUAUUCGCAAGAACACCAGUGGCGAAGGCGGCUCACUGGCCCGAUACUGACGCUGAGGUGCGAAAGCGUGGGGAGCAAACAGG
This 253-nucleotide ribosomal RNA is filed under the name uncultured bacterium. RNAcentral's name for it is "partial 16S ribosomal RNA". It matches the Rfam family "Bacterial small subunit ribosomal RNA", at positions 524 to 776 of the family's 1533-position model. The record is from RNAcentral.